ACUAAACAGUGAGAGAGCUUUUCCCUGCAGUCUUCUUGAAGCCCCCCUGGUUUUUUGCUCAUUGUUGGUGGGUGCAUUUUAAUUUUUUCAUUCCUUGGACUAUGGGUUAUGAUAUCCAUAUUCACUGAAGACAAAAAGCCACCUUUUCUGCGUCUCGGUGGCAUGCCAUGUCUCAUCAUCCUUUCAAACUUGUGGUGGAACAGGGUUUUCUUCCCUGUCUGUGUAUUUUGAGCCAGCACAGUUACCAAAAUUGAACUUGUCUUUCGCUUGUGAGCGGUUGUGGUCAUUGUGAGGUCAAAACCUGGGAUGAGGAAAAGAGUCUGGGCACAAAAUUCCAGGAGUCUUCACACUCGGGUUCAUGGCAAAGAAAGAAGCCUUUGACCUUGCUCCUGUUCCAGGAUCAGAAAUGUCACCAUUCAGAUUUUAAAAUGAAAGGGUCAUUGACAUUAAGUGGGACAGAUGAACACUGGCUCCCAAAGAUGCCAUUGUCCAGAAAUAGGCAGCCAUUUGGGGUCUUCAAGAGACACUUCUAAUGAGAAAUACAAAACAGAAAGCUUGGGAUUGCUGACAACUGCCCGCAGCUGAGACAACUGUGGUUAAGUCAGGACACUUUGAUGUGACAUGUUGCUCGAUGUUUUUCAAUGUGGGCAGCAGAACUCGGGGAAGUUCUUCCUUGAAUGUUGCGUUACAUACAUUGUCCUCUGAGAAGGAAGGUGGCUAUCCUUGGCAAUGGUUUCUAUUACUAACACAACUAUGAACUGUGGUCAUUUUCAGACAAGCUGCUUCCCUCCCCCCGGCCCGUGGUUUGUUUGGUGUUAAACGUCUCCUCUUGGUUUCUAUGGGUGAAUGAAUUGUUCUUAACAUGGUGUCCUCUAGGAUGUGUGCUCUAUCCAGUGGGGCCUGUUGAGAACUGCCUGAACACAGUCCAUACGCUGCCUAAGUGCACUCCUGCGGCUAAAAUAAAUCUCAGCCCUAAUGACUGGAUCCCUCAUCCUGACCCAAGCCUGAUUAAGAGAGCAGGGAGACUCUGUAACAGUGACAUGU
This 1044-nucleotide small RNA is filed under the name Pongo abelii (Sumatran orangutan). Its description in RNAcentral is "processed transcript". Lineage: Eukaryota; Metazoa; Chordata; Mammalia; Primates; Hominidae. The record is from RNAcentral.